UUCGGGUUGUAAAGUACUUUCAGCAGUGAGGAAGGUGGGUAUGUUAAUAGCAUAUUCAUUUGACGUUAGCUGCAGAAGAAGCACCGGCUAACUCCGUGCCAGCAGCCGCGGUAAUACGGAGGGUGCGAGCGUUAAUCGGAAUUACUGGGCGUAAAGCGCAUGCAGGUGGUUUGUUAAGUCAGAUGUGAAAGCCCGGGGCUCAACCUCGGAAUUGCAUUUGAAACUGGCAAACUAGAGUACUGUAGAGGGGGUAGAAUUUCAGGUGUAGCGGUGAAAUGCGUAGAGAUCUGAAGGAAUACCGGUGGCGAAGGCGGCCCCCUGGACAGAUACUGACACUCAGAUGCGAAAGCGUGGGGAGCAAACAGGAUUAGAUACCCUGGUAG
RNAcentral lists this ribosomal RNA (383 nucleotides) under uncultured bacterium. RNAcentral describes it as "bacterial SSU rRNA". It matches the Rfam family "Bacterial small subunit ribosomal RNA", at positions 417 to 793 of the family's 1533-position model. The record is from RNAcentral.